Molecule: ribosomal RNA, 259 nt
Filed under: uncultured bacterium
Lineage: Bacteria
Description: partial 16S ribosomal RNA
Rfam family: Bacterial small subunit ribosomal RNA
Source: RNAcentral
UACGUAGGGUGCGAGCGUUGUCCGGAAUUAUUGGGCGUAAAGAGCUCGUAGGCGGUUUGUCGCGUCGAAUGUGAAAAACCCGGGGCUCAACCCCCGGGCCUGCAUUCGAUACGGGCAGACUAGAGUUCGGUAGGGGGAGUCUGGAAUUCCUGGUGUAGCGGUGAAAAUGCGCAGAUAUCAGGAGGAACACCGGUGGCGAAGGCGGGACUCUGGGCCGAUACUGACGCUGAGGAGCGAAAAGCGUGGGGGAGCAAACAGG